This 300-nucleotide ribosomal RNA is filed under the name uncultured Lactobacillus sp. RNAcentral describes it as "bacterial SSU rRNA". It matches the Rfam family "Bacterial small subunit ribosomal RNA", at positions 496 to 795 of the family's 1533-position model. Lineage: Bacteria; Bacillati; Bacillota; Bacilli; Lactobacillales; Lactobacillaceae. The record is from RNAcentral.
GCUAACUUCGGGCCAGGAGCCGUGGUAAUACGAAGGGGUCAAGCGUUACUCGGAAUUACUGGGCGUAAAGCGUGCGUAGGUGGUUCGUUAAGUCUGAGGUGAAAGCCCUGGGCUCAACCUGGGAAUUGCAUUUGAUACUGGCGAGCUAGAGUGCGGUAGAGGGUAGUGGAAUUCCCGGUGUAGCAGUGAAAUGCGUAGAGAUCGGGAGGAACAUCUGUGGCGAAGGCGACUGCCUGGACCAGCACUGACACUGAGGCACGAAAGCGUGGGGAGCAAACAGGAUUAGAUACCCGAGUAUUC